This 426-nucleotide ribosomal RNA is filed under the name uncultured bacterium. RNAcentral's name for it is "bacterial SSU rRNA". It matches the Rfam family "Bacterial small subunit ribosomal RNA", at positions 359 to 776 of the family's 1533-position model. The record is from RNAcentral.
GAAUUGUUCGCACUGGGCGCAAGCCUGACGACGCAACGCCGCGUGGAGGAUGAAGAUCUUCGGGUCGUAAACUCCUUUCGAUCGCGACGAACGGCCUCCGGGUCAACAAUCCGGGGGAGUGACGGUACCGAGAGAAGCAGCCCCGGCCAACUCCGUUCCAGCAGUCGCGGUAAUACGGGGGGGGCAAGCGUUGUUCGGAAUUACUGGGCGUAAAGGGCUCGUAGGCGGCCAACUAAGUCGGACGUGAAAUCCCUCGGCUUAACCGGGGAACUGCGUCCGAUACUGGAUGGCUUGAGAUCGGGAGAGGGAUGCGGAAUUCCAGGUGUAGCGGUGAAAUGCGUAGAUAUCUGGAGGAACACCGGUGGCGAAGGCGGCAUCCUGGACCGACACUGACGCUGAGGAGCGAAAGCCAGGGGAGCAAACGGG